This 253-nucleotide ribosomal RNA is filed under the name uncultured bacterium. RNAcentral describes it as "partial 16S ribosomal RNA". It matches the Rfam family "Bacterial small subunit ribosomal RNA", at positions 524 to 776 of the family's 1533-position model. The record is from RNAcentral.
UACGUAGGGUGCAAGCGUUAAUCGGAAUUACUGGGCGUAAAGCGUGCGCAGGCGGUGAUGUAAGACAGGUGUGAAAUCCCCGGGCUCAACCUGGGAACUGCAUUUGUGACUGCAUCGCUGGAGUGCGGCAGAGGGGGAUGGAAUUCCGCGUGUAGCAGUGAAAUGCGUAGAUAUCUGGAGGAACACCGGUGGCGAAGGCGGCAUCCUGGACCGGCAUUGACGCUGAGGCGCGAAAGCUAGGGGAGCAAACGGG